This 252-nucleotide ribosomal RNA is filed under the name uncultured bacterium. RNAcentral's name for it is "partial 16S ribosomal RNA". It matches the Rfam family "Bacterial small subunit ribosomal RNA", at positions 524 to 776 of the family's 1533-position model. The record is from RNAcentral.
UACGAAGGGGGCUAGCGUUGUUCGGAAUUACUGGGCGUAAAGCGCGCGCAGGCGGUCUUUAAGUCAGGGGUGAAAUCCUGGAGCUCAACUCCAGAACUGCCUUUGAUACUGAGGAUCUUGAGUUCGGGAGAGGUGAGUGGAACUGCGAGUGUAGAGGUGAAAUUCGUAGAUAUUCGGAAGAACACCAGUGGCGAAGGCGACUCGCUGGACAAGUAUUGACGCUGAGGUGCGAAAGCGUGGGGAGCAAACAGG